This 235-nucleotide ribosomal RNA is filed under the name uncultured bacterium. RNAcentral's name for it is "partial 16S ribosomal RNA". It matches the Rfam family "Bacterial small subunit ribosomal RNA", at positions 524 to 757 of the family's 1533-position model. The record is from RNAcentral.
UACGUAGGGGGCGAGCGUUGUCCGGAAUUAUUGGGCGUAAAGAGCGUGUAGGCGGUUCGGUAAGUCUGCCGUGAAAACCUGGGGCUCAACCCCGGGCGUGCGGUGGAUACUGCCGGGCUAGAGGGUGGUAGAGGCGAGUGGAAUUCCCGGUGUAGAGGUGAAAUUCGUAGAUAUCGGGAGGAACACCAGUGGCGAAGGCGGCGACCUGGGCCAAUAUUGACGCGUGAGGUGCGAA